GGAAAAAUUGAUAAGGGCAAUGAGUGAAUGCCUUGGUGAUAUCAGGCGAAGAAGGACGUGGUAAGCUGCGAUAAGCUUCGGGGAGCGGCAAAUACGCUUUGAUCCGGAGAUUUCCGAAUGGGGAAACCCAACCAACUGGUUAAUACACGCUGAAUAUAUAGGUGUGUAUGGCUAACCUGCUGAACUGAAACAUCUAAGUAAGCAGAGGAAAAGAAAGCGAAUGCGAUUCCCAGAGUAGUGGCGAGCGAAACGGGAACAGCCUAAACCGUGUGGAUUUAUCUAUGCGGGGUCGUAGGAGCCCAUCGUCGUAUUGUCAAAAAUAGAAGAAUCCUUUGGAAAGAGGAGCCAUAGAGGGUGAUAGCCCCGUAGUCGAAAUUUGAGACAAGCGUAGGGAAUUCCUGAGUAGCACGGGACACGUGAAAUCCUGUGUGAAUUAACGCGGACCACCGCGUAAGGCUAAAUACUCGAUAUCGACCGAUAGUGAACUAGUACCGCGAGGGAAAGGUGAAAAGAACUCCGUCUAGGAGAGUGAAAUAGUACCUGAAACUUAUUGCCUACAAGCGGUCGGAGCACGUUUUUGUGUGACGGCGUACCUUUUGCAUAAUGGGUCUGGGAGUUGUUGUUUGUAGCAAGCUUAAGGCUUUUUCAAGCCGGAGGCGUAGCGAAAGCAAGUCUGAAUAGGGCGAUUAGUUGCAGGCAACAGACCCGAAACGGGAUGAUCUAUCCAUGGUCAGGUUGAAAGUAGAGUGAAAUCUAGUGGAGGACCGAACCGGUGAACCUUGAGAAGUUCUCGGAUGAACUGUGGAUAGGGGUGAAAGGCUAAUCAAAUUCCGUUAUAGCUGGUUCUCUUCGAAAUAUAUUUAGGUAUAGCCUCAUGCGCUGAUUACCGGGGGUAGAGCACUGAAAAAGCUAGGGCCCAUACUAGGGUACCAAACUUUAUCAAACUCCGAAUACCGGUGAGUGUAGCAUGGGAGUCAGUCUGCGGGGGAUAAGCUCCAUAGACGAGAGGGAAAGAGCCCAGACCGUCGAUUAAGGCCCCUAAAUCAUCACUAAGUGGAUUAAAGGAGGUGAGUCUGCAUAGACAAUAGGGAUGUUGGCUUAGAAGCAGCCAUCAUUUAAAUAGUGCGUAAUAGCUAACCUAUCGAGUGGAUUUGCGCCGAAGAUGAUCGGGACUAAAGUGAUGUGCCGAAAUCGCGGACUCGUAAAAUAUUAUGAGUGGUAGAAGAGCGUUCCAACCGGGCAGAAGCCAAAGCGGCAAGCGAUGGUGGACUUGUUGGAAGUGAGUAUCCAGACAUGAGUAACGAUAAAUACGGUGAGAAUCCGUAUCGCCGAAAGGAUAAGGUUUCCUGGGGAAGGGUCGUCCUCCCAGGGUUAGUCGAGAGCUAAGAUGAGGCCAAUUGGAGUAAUCGAUGCACGACAGGUCAAUAUUCCUGUACCAUUUUGUGAGCGUUAUAACUAGAGGAGUGACGGAGAAGGCUAAAUCAGCACAGUGUUGAUUUUGUGUCUAAGUGUUCGAGGCUGUUUGGUAGGAAAAUCCGCCAAACAUUAAGGCUGAGGCAUUAUGGGACUUUUUGGUUUCGACCAAAAGGGAUUCGAUUGAUGUCAUGCUUCCAAGAAAAGCUUCGCUAGGAGUUCACAGAAUGCUCGUACCGCAAACCGACACAGGUAUCCGAGAUGAGUAUUCUAAGGCGCGUGAGUUAAGUCUCUCUAAGGAACUAGGCAAACUGGCCCCGUAUCUUUGGUAGAAGGGGUGCCUGGCAACAGGCCGCAGUGAAAUGGCCCAACCGACUGUUUAGCAAAAACACAGCUCUCUGCUAAGUCGCAAGACGAUGUAUAGGGAGUGACACGUGACCAAUGCGGAAAGGUGAACGCUGGAGGUGCAAGCUUCUGGUCUAAGCCCCCGUGAAUGUCGGCCGUAACUAUAACGGUCCUAAGGUAGCGAAAUUCCUUGUCGGGUAAGUUCCGACCUGCACGAAUCGUGUAACGAGU
This 1989-nucleotide ribosomal RNA is filed under the name Puniceicoccales bacterium. RNAcentral's name for it is "partial 23S ribosomal RNA". It matches the Rfam family "Bacterial large subunit ribosomal RNA", at positions 1 to 2009 of the family's 2925-position model. Lineage: Bacteria; Pseudomonadati; Verrucomicrobiota; Opitutia; Puniceicoccales. The record is from RNAcentral.